UAACACAAGAAAGGUAUUAGUGUGUGUCUCUCUCCACAACACUGCCACUCCUGCGGGGGUGUCGACAAGAGAUUUGUUUGGUCAUGUCAUCUAUUUUCAUCUAACCUUAACCCGUCCGCUGCGAUUGGCACGAAUUUGGCCUUCACUGGUAGCCUGGUAACACAUACUCCCAGGUCUUUCUCUGCCUCUGUGGUGGAUAGUGGAGUGUUUCCCAUGUGGUAUUGGUGUGCUGGAUAUCCCUUCACUGGUAGCCUGGUAACACAUACUCCCAGGUCUUUCUCUGCCUCUGUGGUGGAUAGUGGAGUGUUUCCCAUGUGGUAUUGGUGUGCUGGAUAUCCCUUCACUGGUAGCCUGGUAACACAUACUCCCAGGUCUUUCUCUGCCUCUGUGGUGGAUAGUGGAGUGUUUCCCAUGUGGUAUUGGUGUGCUGGAUAUCCCUUCACUGGUAGCCUGGUAACAUACACUCCCAGGUCUUUCUCUGCCUCUGUGUUGGAUAGUGGAGUGUUUCCCAUGUGGUGUUGGUGUGCUGGAUAUCCCUUCACUGGUAGCCUGGUAACAUACACUCCCAGGUCUUUCUCUGCCUCUGUGGUGGAUAGUGGAGUGUUUCCCAUGUGGUAUUGGUGUGCUGGAUAUCCCUUCACUGGUAGCCUGGUAACAUACACUCCUAGGUCUUUCUCUGCCUCAGUGGUGGAUAGUGGAGUGUUUCCCAUGUGGUAUUGGUGUGCUGGAUAUCCCUUCACUGGUAGCCUGGUAACAUACACUCCCAGGUCUUUCUCUGCCUCUGUGGUGGAUAGUGGAGUGUUUCCCAUGUGGUAUUGGUGUGCUGGAUAUCCCCUCCCAAGAUGCAGGACCUUAUAUUUUUCUUCAUUGAAUUGUAGCAGCCAGUUUUUGUUCCAUUCCUGUAGCUUGGUGAUGUCUUCUGGUAGGAAAUCCGCUUUCAAGGGGUUAAAACAAUCACCACCAACUC
Molecule: long non-coding RNA, 967 nt
Organism: Eriocheir sinensis (Chinese mitten crab)
Lineage: Eukaryota; Metazoa; Arthropoda; Malacostraca; Decapoda; Varunidae
Exons: 3
Source: RefSeq, a predicted model, not a curated record